This 43-nucleotide ribosomal RNA is filed under the name Phaeophleospora pteridivora. Its description in RNAcentral is "partial 18S ribosomal RNA". It matches the Rfam family "Eukaryotic small subunit ribosomal RNA", at positions 1791 to 1831 of the family's 1831-position model. Lineage: Eukaryota; Fungi; Ascomycota; Dothideomycetes; Mycosphaerellales; Mycosphaerellaceae. The record is from RNAcentral.
GUAACAAGGUCUCCGUAGGUGAACCUGCGGAGGGAUCAUUAAA